This 709-nucleotide ribosomal RNA is filed under the name uncultured bacterium. RNAcentral describes it as "bacterial SSU rRNA". It matches the Rfam family "Bacterial small subunit ribosomal RNA", at positions 8 to 707 of the family's 1533-position model. The record is from RNAcentral.
AGAGUUUGAUCCUGGCUCAGAUUGAACGCUGGCGGCAGGCUUAACACAUGCAAGUCGAGCGGUAGCACAGGGGGGCUUGCUCCCUGGGUGACGAGCGGCGGACGGGUGAGUAAUGUCUGGGAAACUGCCUGAUGGAGGGGGAUAACUACUGGAAACGGUAGCUAAUACCGCAUAACGUCGCAAGACCAAAGAGGGGACCUUCGGGCCUCUUGCCAUCAGAUGUGCCCAGAUGGGAUUAGCUAGUAGGUGGGGUAAUGGCUCACCUAGGCGACGAUCCCUAGCUGGUCUGAGAGGAUGACCAGCCACACUGGAACUGAGACACGGUCCAGACUCCUACGGGAGGCAGCAGUGGGGAAUAUUGCACAAUGGGCGCAAGCCUGAUGCAGCCAUGCCGCGUGUGUGAAGAAGGCCUUCGGGUUGUAAAGCACUUUCAGCGAGGAGGAAGGUGGUGAGCUUAAUACGUUCAUCAAUUGACGUUACUCGCAGAAGAAGCACCGGCUAACUCCGUGCCAGCAGCCGCGGUAAUACGGAGGGUGCAAGCGUUAAUCGGAAUUACUGGGCGUAAAGCGCACGCAGGCGGUUUGUUAAGUCAGAUGUGAAAUCCCCGGGCUCAACCUGGGAACUGCAUUUGAAACUGGCAAGCUAGAGUCUCGUAGAGGGGGGUAGAAUUCCAGGUGUAGCGGUGAAAUGCGUAGAGAUCUGGAGGAAU